GACGAACGCUGGCGGCGUGCUUAACACAUGCAAGUCGAGCGGUAAGGCCCUUUCGGGGGUACACGAGCGGCGAACGGGUGAGUAACACGUGGGUGACCUGCCCUCAGCUCUGGGAUAAGCCUGGGAAACCGGGUCUAAUACCGGAUAUGACUCCAUGACGCAUGUUGUGGGGUGGAAAGCCUUGUGCGGCUGAGGAUGGGCCCGCGGCCUAUCAGCUUGUUGGUGGGGUGAUGGCCUACCAAGGCGACGACGGGUAGCCGGCCUGAGAGGGCGACCGGCCACACUGGGACUGAGACACGGCCCAGACUCCUACGGGAGGCGAGCAGUGGGGAAUCUUGCGCAAUGGGCGAAAGCCUGACGCAGCGACGCCGCGUGAGGGAUGACGGCCUGGU
RNAcentral lists this ribosomal RNA (392 nucleotides) under uncultured bacterium. RNAcentral describes it as "bacterial SSU rRNA". It matches the Rfam family "Bacterial small subunit ribosomal RNA", at positions 28 to 420 of the family's 1533-position model. The record is from RNAcentral.